Long non-coding RNA from Acinonyx jubatus (cheetah), 3320 nucleotides. RefSeq lists it as uncharacterized. The record is from RefSeq and is a predicted model, not a curated record. Lineage: Eukaryota; Metazoa; Chordata; Mammalia; Carnivora; Felidae. The transcript is spliced from 5 exons.
CUCUCCUUGCAUGCAGGGACCCUGGGGCUUGUGUGUUUCCUCCAGAAGCAACCAUGGGACUUCGGAGGCUAAAAGAGUGUGGGAGCAACCUGCCCGCAGGUUAGGGUAGGGGCUCACAUCUCUGCCGUUGUUACCUCGUCUGGAGCUACUUGGAUCAAAGCAGAAUCUUCUCUACUUCGCUUGAUCCCUGAGCAGACGGUGGGCAGCUCCCGGGUGGGAGAGUAUCUCCACCUCUGGGGUCUAGUACAGACCGGGGGCAGGUCAGUCUUCAGGGAGAGCAUCAGUAAGCAAACAAGGACACCUCUCGUCGUACUAAUGCCAAUAAUGUUGACAACUAACCUCAUCGCAUAAUUGCCAAACGCCAGCUCUGAGAGCUUCCUGGAUUGCUUUCGUCUAAUUUUCAUGUUAACGUGAUGAUGCAGGUCUUAUUUUGAUCUCCAUUACCAAGUUUUUUUUUUAUGUGUUUUAUUUUUUAUCUUUGAGAGAGAGAGACAGACAGACAGACAGACUGUGAGCAGGUGAGGGGCAGAGAGAGAGAGGGAGAUGCAGGCUCCGAAGCAGGCUCCAGUCUCCGAGCUGUCAGCCCAGAGCCCGACUCGGGGCUCGAACCCAUGGACUGUGAGAUCAUGACCUGAGCCGAAGCUGGCCGCCCAACUGACUGAGCCACCCAGGUGCCCCUUGAUCUCCAUUUUAGACAUGGGAGUACUCAGUCACAGAGGGGUUACAUAACCCACAUGCUCCCUUCCACACGGCUAACGAGCGGCACCCAGAAGGUAAAUGCUGGCACCCUCGCUGUAGAACCCGAGAUCCUCACUGCUGUGGACACAGCCUCCUCUUUCCCCCCAGGCUCCUAUCCUGGGUCUCAGGACUGGGCUCAGGGACCUCGGCUACGAGUCUAGUAGAGUUUACGUUGACCCUUCCGAUACUCUGGCAUUUCUUCCUGGGUAUUGUAUAGAUUGGAUGCAGUUCUGAGAGCCUCUCAGCGCCCUGAUUACAUUGUUGGUUUAUGCUGCUUUGGUUUCAGGUCAUGAGGCAAGAAGGAAACCGUCUCGAACUCCCGCCAAGCCGUUCUGCCCAGCGAGCCUCUUCCCACAAGCGUGGGGCUCCGGGCGCGCCCGAGGCCCCCGCCAGCCGAGGCGCUUUCCUGCCUUCAAAGGCCCACCUUGAGUGCAUGCCAGAAUCCGGCAACAGAUUCUGGUCCAACUCAUGCAAACCGCAGAACUCCAAGGCGGUUGAGGCCACGGAACACUGAGUUGAGAUCAAGUGGCUUAAUACCAAAAGAAAACAUCUUCAAAGUUUUGUCGGAGGGAAAGCCAAACAGAGAUAAUGUUGAAGUCUCCAGCUUGCUAGUUCCUUUCUGUUUGGUCAGCGCUUGAUAGGAUAUGAUGUCUGAGUGCCCACAGCUUUAUCGUCGGAGAGCCUCUGCUUUGCUGGGUCCAGGACGAGGGUCAUUCCAGCUCAGCAGUGAGUGAAUACUCUUGACCAUAAAACUCUCUGCCAACGAAAGACAUUGUAAAUAUAGAGCAACGCAGUCUGGUGGUCAUGGCUAAGGGACUUCCAGGCCAUGGUGGUGGAUGGAGUGCAGGAUUUCCAUCUCUUGAGGACCAACCCGAAGAACAAAAUUGCAAAAGCCGAGAAAGAGUCCCAGCGGCAAAGUAAUCAAGCAUGAGAAGUUGCAAAAUGUGACGUUGUAUCCCGUCAGAGGCAGGGGCUGCCAUUGAGGUUGACCGUCUCCACAAGUGUUCACCAGAUGGUCCAUGACGACGAUGGUCACAGGGUAGAAAGGAUGGAAUUCUAUGAAUUUCUUGGUGCUCAGUUUCAACUCAGCAGGCAAGUCAUCUUCUUUCAGAUGCUCCCAUCCCUCCGCUCUGUGGCGUGGCCAUAUUCUCGAGAGCGCUCGUGGUUCAUUCUGCACCUUCAAGGGCUGAUAAGCAACCUGCCGGACCUCUCUGCUCCCAGAGUCGAAUAGGCCACUCACACAUCUUUGCAUUUUGACCCAGUGGUCUCUUGGCUGUGUCCCCAGCGUGCUCUCUUGCAAAUGUGUGCACAUGCCUCAUUCUAGAAGAUAUGAUUACGAUGUGGGACCCUGUGUCUCUGUGCAGCUUGAUGCAUCUCCCAGCCAAGAAUGGGCAUGAGAAGCCGGGAAGACCCGAGUCUGAAUCCUGACUAUAUUAAUUUCUAGCUGUGUGAUCUGGAUGGAGCUACUUAAUUUCUCCGAACAGCAGAUUCCUUUAUCUGGACAGCGGUGCUAAAACCCUUUCUUCCAGCGCAGGGGACUGUUAAAGAAGAUGCUCAAACGGUGUCUGGGUCCUAGUACACGUCAAAAACUUUUGUCUGAUCCAAGAAGUGGACUUAUAACCUUUCUCUCCUAACAUUUCAUGAAGUCAUCACAUGCUGGAUGUGCAGUCCUCAGGUAUGAUUUUCUCCCCAUUUUAGUGGGGAUUUCCCCCAACGCACUCUAUUUUCUACAUAAUUUUUGGAAGCAUUCGAAUAUAUGUUCAGUGUUAGUAGUCUCUUUCUCUCUCCCCUUUCUCUUACAGCCGAUGACCUGGCCCGAGUCUUCACUUGGGAGUAAGGACCAGUGCUAAAGUUCUAAGCUACAGAAGUCUGCAAUCUGCAGUCGCCAGGCACGACCUAGCGCCAUUCUACUGUUGGCGUGACCCCCGUAAGACCAGAGGAUGCUGCGCUCUGGGCCUCGAAGGCACCAACGUGAAUCCCUACCCUGAUUCUUCCCAGGAGACGCGAAGCGUUGAAAAUUAUAUUCAGCUGCAGGAGUUUUCAGCCUCACAUUCGGAAAGAGCAGAAGUUGCUAGAGGCUAUUUUCAGAGAACUCCUAAUAAGUACAGAACCCAAAUACAGACAUGGUUGUUAACACCCUGGGAAAUGCCAAAUCCAAGCUGGAUCGCAGCCAGCAGAGAAAUGGAAAGUCCUAGAUAGCUUAUCUCAGAGCCAAUCUGUAUUACGCGGGAGGCGCAAGAGGCAAUUGCACGGGAGGACACGAGCUCUCCUUCUAGGCUCUGCAUCAGCGCCUUGGACCAACAACAUCAAGGUGCAUCGGGCAUUUUCUGAAUCUGCGAGUAGGUCCCUUGUCCUGCUCUGGGUUCUAUCCUGUGCUUCCAGCCUUCUUCUCCUUCAACCCACCCGUUCUUCUGACCCGUUUCAUUCAUUCCUGGGGCUUCAGGAACCUUCUCUCCCUCAACAAAUGACUCCUUGUGAUAGAUCUCCAGGCUUGAGUUUUUAAACAAGUUUAUUCUAUUUAUUUGUUUGUUUGUUUAUUUAUUUAUUUAUUGAGAGAGAGAGAGAGAGAGGAGAGAGAGGAG